AUUGAACGCUGGCGGCAUGCUUUACACAUGCAAGUCGAACGGUAACAGGUUAAGCUGACGAGUGGCGAACGGGUGAGUAAUGCAUCGGAACGUGCCCGAUCGUGGGGGAUAACGCAGCGAAAGCUGCGCUAAUACCGCAUACGAUCUGAGGAUGAAAGCGGGGGACCGUAAGGCCUCGCGCGAUCGUAGCGGCCGAUGUCAGAUUAGGUAGUUGGUGGGGUAAAGGCUCACCAAGCCGACGACCUGUAGCUGGUCUGAGAGGACGACCAGCCACACUGGGACUGAGACACGGCCCAGACUCCUACGGGAGGCAGCAGUGGGGAAUUUUGGACAAUGGGCGAAAGCCUGAUCCAGCAAUGCCGCGUGCAGGAAGAAGGCCUUCGGGUUGUAAACUGCUUUUGUACGGAGCGAAAAGGCUCUCUCUAACACAGGGGGCUCAUGACGGUACCGUAAGAAUAAGCACCGGCUAACUACGUGCCAGCAGCCGCCGUAA
RNAcentral lists this ribosomal RNA (493 nucleotides) under uncultured bacterium. RNAcentral's name for it is "partial 16S ribosomal RNA". It matches the Rfam family "Bacterial small subunit ribosomal RNA", at positions 29 to 523 of the family's 1533-position model. The record is from RNAcentral.